RNAcentral lists this ribosomal RNA (589 nucleotides) under uncultured bacterium. Its description in RNAcentral is "bacterial SSU rRNA". It matches the Rfam family "Bacterial small subunit ribosomal RNA", at positions 338 to 946 of the family's 1533-position model. The record is from RNAcentral.
CCUACGGGAGGCAGCAGUUAGGAAUAUUGGACAAUGGGGGCAACCCUGAUCCAGCCAUGCCGCGUGUGUGAAGAAGGCCUUAGGGUUGUAAAGCACUUUCAGCUGUGAAGAUAAUGACAGUAGCAGAAGAAGAAGCUCCGGCUAAAUUCGUGCCAGCAGCCGCGGUAAUACGAAUGGAGCGAGCGUUGUUCGGAAUCACUGGGCGUAAAGGGUGCGCAGGCGGUCAUGAAAGUUAGAAGUGAAAUCCCAGGGCUUAACCCUGGAAUGGCUUUUAAAACUCCAUGACUAGAGUACUGGAGAGGUUGGCGGAAUUCCGAGUGUAGAGGUGAAAUUCGCAGAUAUUCGGAGGAACACCAAUGGCGUAGGCAGCCAACUGGACAGUAACUGACGCUCAUGCACGAAAGCGUGGGGAUCAAACAGGAUUAGAUACCCUGGUAGUCCACGCCCUAAACGAUGUGUGCUAGUUGUCGGGUUCUUAGAACUCGGUGACGCAGCUAACGCUUUAAGCACACCGCCUGGGGAGUCGGUCGCAAGNUUAAAACUCAAAUGAUUAGUAGNGUUGAGAGNGCGAGACGACGACGAGGAGAGG